RNAcentral lists this ribosomal RNA (419 nucleotides) under bacterium. RNAcentral describes it as "partial 16S ribosomal RNA". It matches the Rfam family "Bacterial small subunit ribosomal RNA", at positions 355 to 776 of the family's 1533-position model. The record is from RNAcentral.
UUGGGGAUAUUGCACAAUGGGCGAAAGCCUGAUGCAGCGACGCCGCGUGGGGGAUGAAGGCCUUCGGGUUGUAAACUUCUUUUGCUCUGAACAAGGCGCACCAUGGGGUGUGUUGAGUGUAGGGGUUGAUUAGCGCCGGCUAACUACGUGCCAGCAGCCGCGGUAAUACGUAGGGCGCGAGCGUUGUCCGGAAUUAUUGGGCGUAAAGGGCUUGUAGGUGGCUGGUUGCGUCUGUCGUGAAAGCUCAUGGCUUAACUGUUGUUGUGCGGUUGGUACGGGCUGGCUUGAGUGCAGUAGUGGAGGCUGGAAUUCCUGGUGUAGCGGUGGAAUGCGCAGAUAUCAGGAGGAAUACCGGUGGCGAAGGCGGGGCUCUGGGCUGUUACUGACACUGAGGAGCUAAAGCAUGAGGAGCGAACAGG